GGUUAAGCGACUAAGCGUACACGGUGGAUGCCCUGGCAGUCAGAGGCGAUGAAGGACGUGCUAAUCUGCGAAAAGCGCCGGCGAGGUGAUAUGAACCUUUGACCCGGCGAUGUCCGAAUGGGGAAACCCAGUGUGUUCCGACACACUAUCGUUAACUGAAUACAUAGGUUAACGAGGCGAACCGGGGGAACUGAAACAUCUAAGUACCCCGAGGAAAAGAAAUCAACCGAGAUUCCCCCAGUAGCGGCGAGCGAACGGGGAGCAGCCCAGAGUCUGAAUCAGCUUGUGUGUUAGUGGAAGCGUCUGGAAAGUCGCACGGUACAGGGUGACAGUCCCGUACACGAAAGCACACAGGCUGUGAACUCGAAGAGUAGGGCGGGACACGUGGUAUCCUGUCUGAAUAUGGGGGGACCAUCCUCCAAGGCUAAAUACUCCUGACUGACCGAUAGUGAACCAGUACCGUGAGGGAAAGGCGAAAAGAACCCCGGCGAGGGGAGUGAAAAAGAACCUGAAACCGUGUACGUACAAGCAGUGGGAGCCUCUUUUAUGGGGUGACUGCGUACCUUUUGUAUAAUGGGUCAGCGACUUAUAUUCUGUAGCAAGGUUAACCGUAUAGGGGAGCCGAAGGGAAACCGAGUCUUAACUGGGCGUUAAGUUGCAGGGUAUAGACCCGAAACCCGGUGAUCUAGCCAUGGGCAGGUUGAAGGUUGGGUAACACUAACUGGAGGACCGAACCGACUAAUGUUGAAAAAUUAGCGGAUGACUUGUGGCUGGGGGUGAAAGGCCAAUCAAACCGGGAGAUAGCUGGUUCUCCCCGAAAGCUAUUUAGGUAGCGCCUCGUGAACUCAUCUUCGGGGGUAGAGCACUGUUUCGGCUAGGGGGCCAUCCCGGCUUACCAACCCGAUGCAAACUACGAAUACCGAAGAAUGUUAUCACGGGAGACACACGGCGGGUGCUAACGUCCGUCGUGAAGAGGGAAACAACCCAGACCGCCAGCUAAGGUCCCAAAGUCAUGGUUAAGUGGGAAACGAUGUGGGAAGGCACAGACAGCCAGGAUGUUGGCUUAGAAGCAGCCAUCAUUUAAAGAAAGCGUAAUAGCUCACUGGUCGAGUCGGCCUGCGCGGAAGAUGUAACGGGGCUAAACCAUGCACCGAAGCUGCGGCAGCGACACUAUGUGUUGUUGGGUAGGGGAGCGUUCUGUAAGCCGUUGAAGGUGUCCUGUGAGGGGUGCUGGAGGUAUCAGAAGUGCGAAUGCUGACAUAAGUAACGAUAAAGCGGGUGAAAAGCCCGCUCGCCGGAAGACCAAGGGUUCCUGUCCAACGUUAAUCGGGGCAGGGUGAGUCGACCCCUAAGGCGAGGCCGAAAGGCGUAGUCGAUGGGAAACAGGUUAAUAUUCCUGUACUUGGUGUUACUGCGAAGGGGGGACGGAGAAGGCUAUGUUAGCCGGGCGACGGUUGUCCCGGUUUAAGCAUGUAGGCGGAGGUUCCAGGUAAAUCCGGUUCCUUGUUAACGCUGAGGUGUGAUGACGAGGCACUACGGUGCUGAAGUAACAAAUGCCCUGCUUCCAGGAAAAGCCUCUAAGCAUCAGGUAACAUCAAAUCGUACCCCAAACCGACACAGGUGGUCAGGUAGAGAAUACCAAGGCGCUUGAGAGAACUCGGGUGAAGGAACUAGGCAAAAUGGUGCCGUAACUUCGGGAGAAGGCACGCUGAUAUGUAGGUGAAGCCCCUGCGGGUGGAGCUGAAAUCAGUCGAAGAUACCAGCUGGCUGCAACUGUUUAUUAAAAACACAGCACUGUGCAAACACGAAAGUGGACGUAUACGGUGUGACGCCUGCCCGGUGCCGGAAGGUUAAUUGAUGGGGUUAGCGGUAACGCGAAGCUCUUGAUCGAAGCCCCGGUAAACGGCGGCCGUAACUAUAACGGUCCUAAGGUAGCGAAAUUCCUUGUCGGGUAAGUUCCGACCUGCACGAAUGGCGUAAUGAUGGCCAGGCUGUCUCCACCCGAGACUCAGUGAAAUUGAACUCGCUGUGAAGAUGCAGUGUACCCGCGGCAAGACGGAAAGACCCCGUGAACCUUUACUAUAGCUUGACACUGAACACUGGUCCUUGAUGUGUAGGAUAGGUGGGAGGCUUUGAAGCGUGGACGCCAGUCUGCGUGGAGCCAACCUUGAAAUACCACCCUUUAAUGGCUGGUGUUCUAACGUAGACCCGUAAUCCGGGUUGCGGACAGUGUCUGGUGGGUAGUUUGACUGGGGCGGUCUCCUCCCAAAGAGUAACGGAGGAGCACGAAGGUUAGCUAAUCCUGGUCGGACAUCAGGAGGUUAGUGCAAUGGCAUAAGCUAGCUUGACUGCGAGAGUGACGGCUCGAGCAGGUGCGAAAGCAGGUCAUAGUGAUCCGGUGGUUCUGAAUGGAAGGGCCAUCGCUCAACGGAUAAAAGGUACUCCGGGGAUAACAGGCUGAUACCGCCCAAGAGUUCAUAUCGACGGCGGUGUUUGGCACCUCGAUGUCGGCUCAUCACAUCCUGGGGCUGAAGUAGGUCCCAAGGGUAUGGCUGUUCGCCAUUUAAAGUGGUACGCGAGCUGGGUUUAGAACGUCGUGAGACAGUUCGGUCCCUAUCUGCCGUGGGCGCUGGAGAAUUGAGGGGGGCUGCUCCUAGUACGAGAGGACCGGAGUGGACGCAUCACUGGUGUUCGGGUUGUCAUGCCAAUGGCACUGCCCGGUAGCUAAAUGCGGAAGAGAUAAGUGCUGAAAGCAUCUAAGCACGAAACUUGCCCCGAGAUGAGUUCUCCCUGAGACUUUAAGUCUCCUGAAGGAACGUUGAAGACUACGACGUUGAUAGGUCGGGUGUGUAAGCGCAGCGAUGCGUUGAGCUAACCGAUACUAAUGAACCGUGAGGCUUAACCUU
This 2906-nucleotide ribosomal RNA is filed under the name Enterobacter ludwigii. RNAcentral describes it as "23S ribosomal RNA". It matches the Rfam family "Bacterial large subunit ribosomal RNA". The record is from RNAcentral. Lineage: Bacteria; Pseudomonadati; Pseudomonadota; Gammaproteobacteria; Enterobacterales; Enterobacteriaceae.